GUAUUGUAUUGCGUUAAACGCGGCAUACAUUCCAUAAGACUUUAUUACAGUGUGUGUGUAAAUACAUAGAACCGCGACAGGGGAAACAGAGCUCCCAGGCUGCAGAACUAUGGAGGGUGCACAGGUGUGAGUGGAUGUGCAAACAGAGCGUGCACAUGCCCCCAUUUGAGGACCAGCAACAACUCGUGUUGACAAUUCGGUAAUGAUCCUUCCGCAGGUUCACCUACGGAAA
RNAcentral lists this unclassified non-coding RNA (232 nucleotides) under uncultured fungus. RNAcentral's name for it is "sequence contains ITS1". Lineage: Eukaryota; Fungi. The record is from RNAcentral.